UACGAGGGGUUGAGGCUU
Molecule: unclassified non-coding RNA, 18 nt
Filed under: Dictyostelium discoideum
Lineage: Eukaryota; Evosea; Eumycetozoa; Dictyosteliales; Dictyosteliaceae
Source: RNAcentral